GGUGGAUGCCUUGGCACUAGGAGCCGAAGAAGGACGGGACUAACACCGAUAUGCUUUGGGGAGCUGUACGUAAGCGUUGAUCCAGAGAUUUCCGAAUGGGGGAACCCACUAUCUUUAGUCGGAUAGUAUCCUUACGUGAAUACAUAGCGUGAGGAAGGCAGACCCAGGGAACUGAAACAUCUAAGUACCUGGAGGAAGAGAAAGAAAAAUCGAUUUCCUGAGUAGCGGCGAGCGAAACGGAAAGAGCCCAAACCAAGAAGCUUGCUUCUUGGGGUUGUAGGACACUCUAUACGGAGUUACAAAAGAAAGUUAUAAAUGAAGCGGUCUGGAAAGGCCCGCCAAAGACGGUAACAGCCCGGUAGUUGAAAUGGCUUUCCCUCCAGAGUGGAUCCUGAGUACGGCGGAACACGUGAAAUUCCGUCGGAAUCCGGGAGGACCAUCUCCCAAGGCUAAAUACUCCCUAGUGACCGAUAGUGAACCAGUACCGUGAGGGAAAGGUGAAAAGCACCCCGGAAGGGGAGUGAAACAGUUCCUGAAACCGUGUGCCUACAAGUAGUUAGAGCCCGUUAAUGGGU
This 575-nucleotide ribosomal RNA is filed under the name Leptospira borgpetersenii serovar Balcanica. RNAcentral's name for it is "partial 23S ribosomal RNA". It matches the Rfam family "Bacterial large subunit ribosomal RNA", at positions 23 to 594 of the family's 2925-position model. The record is from RNAcentral. Lineage: Bacteria; Pseudomonadati; Spirochaetota; Leptospiria; Leptospirales; Leptospiraceae.